RNAcentral lists this ribosomal RNA (643 nucleotides) under uncultured bacterium. RNAcentral's name for it is "bacterial SSU rRNA". The stretch from base 1 to 539 matches the Rfam family "Bacterial small subunit ribosomal RNA", at positions 338 to 873 of the family's 1533-position model. The record is from RNAcentral.
CCUACGGGAGGCAGCAGUAAGGAAUAUUGGUCAAUGGACGAAAGUCUGAACCAGCCAUGCCGCGUGAAGGAUUAAGGUCCUCUGGAUUGUAAACUUCUUUUAUAGGGGACGAAAAAAGGGCAUUCUUGCUCUCUUGACGGUACCCUGUGAAUAAGCACCGGCUAACUCCGUGCCAGCAGCCGCGGUAAUACGGAGGGUGCAAGCGUUAUCCGGAUUCACUGGGUUUAAAGGGUGCGUAGGCGGGUAGGUAAGUCAGUGGUGAAAUCUCGGAGCUUAACUCCGAAACUGCCAUUGAUACUAUCUAUCUUGAAUAUUGUGGAGGUUUGCGGAAUAUGUCAUGUAGCGGUGAAAUGCAUAGAUAUGACAUAGAACACCUAUUGCGAAGGCAGCAGGCUACACAUAUAUUGACGCUGAGGCACGAAAGCGUGGGGAUCAAACAGGAUUAGAUACCCUGGUAGUCCACGCCCUAAACGAUGAUACUACGACAUACGUGAUACACUAUGUGUGUCUGAGACGAAGACAUUAAGUUAAUACCUACCGUACGGUAAGGUAACGGUACCGCCGAACGGAGUAGAAACGUAACGAAAGGAAGUUAGUACGGACGUAGAGACGNGCCGACGGACGACGACGAGGGGAGGUAGGG